This is a long non-coding RNA of Manacus vitellinus (golden-collared manakin), 350 nucleotides long. RefSeq lists it as uncharacterized. NCBI's taxonomy places the organism in Eukaryota, Metazoa, Chordata, Aves, Passeriformes, Pipridae. The record is from RefSeq and is a predicted model, not a curated record. The transcript is spliced from 3 exons.
GCUUCAUCUUGGACUCUGCAUUUUACUCAGCAGCAUCCUCAACAUUUACUCUGCCCAUGACAUCCCCUGUGCCAACUUUCUAAAGGCUAUCUGGGAGGACAUUUUGAAGGAGUAUUAGACUUCUUCAGGGAUUCACUUAAGGACAACUGAAGUACAUGGGAUGAUUUGAAGACCAAGACUUUAACAGUGUUUUGAGCUUCCAGAGAGAGGACAGUCAAGUGCAUAAACUGCAAAGAGAUGCAUAUGAAGUCUUGAUGGUUUUGCUGAACACUUAUUAGAGGAGACUGGCACUGGCUACAAGAACAGUGACGCUUUCUAAUAAACCCAAAAUUUGUAUUAAGUUCAUUAUC